GACGAACGCUGGCGGCGUGCUUAACACAUGCAAGUCGAACGGAAAGGCCCUGCUUUUGUGGGGUGCUCGAGUGGCGAACGGGUGAGUAACACGUGAGUAACCUGCCCUUGACUUUGGGAUAACUUCAGGAAACUGGGGCUAAUACCUGAUAGGAGCUCCUGCUGCAUGGUGGGGGUUGGAAAGUUUCGGCGGUUGGGGAUGGACUCGCGGCUUAUCAGCUUGUUGGUGGGGUAGUGGCUUACCAAGGCUUUGACGGGUAGCCGGCCUGAGAGGGUGACCGGCAACAUUGGGACUGAGAUACGGCCCAGACUCCUACGGGAGGAAGCAGUGGGGAAUAUGGCACAAUGGGCGGAAGCCUGAUGCAGCAACGCAGCGUGCGGGAUGACGGCCUUCGGGUUGUAAACAGAGUUCGAAUGUGAAGAAGCGAGAGUGACGGUAAUGGGUAAAGAAGCACCGGCUAACUACGUG
Molecule: ribosomal RNA, 468 nt
Filed under: uncultured bacterium
Lineage: Bacteria
Description: partial 16S ribosomal RNA
Rfam family: Bacterial small subunit ribosomal RNA
Source: RNAcentral